RNAcentral lists this long non-coding RNA (1207 nucleotides) under Callithrix jacchus (white-tufted-ear marmoset). Its description in RNAcentral is "lncRNA (ENSCJAG00000069738.1)". The record is from RNAcentral. Lineage: Eukaryota; Metazoa; Chordata; Mammalia; Primates; Cebidae.
UGAAAUCCAAACAUUUUUGGUCCCAGGUAUUUCAAAUAAGGCAUAUUCCACGUGUACUAGGGUGUUUUGCUUGAUUAGAAUAACAUGUGCUGUGCCAAUCUUGUUUUACUUGAGUGUUCUCAUCUGUGAAACAAUCUUUUUCCUUUCUACCAGCGUAUCAAAAUAAACAGAAAUGUUUAGUAAGAUUUGCCUACUUUCUUAGAAUUGGCAUUAAGAAUUUAAUAAUUUGGAGGCCUGGAAGACUCUAGAACUCUACUUACAUUUCAAGUUGGAGAUCUUCCAGCUUGAAAUAUUUUUCAAGCUGAAAGGUACCAAGGAGAAGAAAGGCACGGAAAUUCUUCCAUCUCAUAUGAAAAAGCAUUCAAGACUAGGAGGACGCUGUGUAAGUGUACACCCGAAAGAGCACAGGGUACUACUCUUUGGACUUUGGAAGUAAGGUUGCUUAUCAGCUGACCUUAAAGUAGGGAGAUGAGUCUGCGUUACCCAGGUGGGCCCAAUGUAAUCACAUGAGCCCUUAAAAGUAGAAGAGAAAGGCACAGGAAUGAGUCAGAGAGACGUGGCCAAACUGAAAGAUGUUUUAAUGCUGAAACAGAGGAGACACACUAUUAUUCGAAGGAGGCUAGCGGCCACAUGAAAAACACGGAAGGAAUGUGAAUACCUUAGGAGCAAGAUUUCACGGCUGGCAGCCAACAGAGAAAUGGAGGCUUCUGUUCUACCACCACAUGGAACUGAAUUCUGCCUGAAAAUGAGGUCUCUGUAUGUUGCCCAGACUGGUCUUGAAUUCCUCAACUCAAAGGAUUCUCCCACUGUGGCCUCUCAAAGUGCUAGGAUUAAAGGUAUGAACCACCAAAUCCAGCCAAAAAUUGAUUUCUGAAUUAAAGAAAAAAGUUAACUGACAUAAUACUGUCUAUAUUUAUUUUCUUAUUUCAUCUCAACGAAAUGCUCAUUUAUAGGCAGUAAAGUUUGUUGCUGAAGUGUUGCUUUAUUCAUAAUGAACAGUAAUAUGAAGAAAAGUAAAAAGUACCUAAUCAAGAUAAUUUUCUUUUUUACUUAAAGACCAGUGUGAUAGUAUAAGUUCUUUUUUUAAAGAAUUAUUUAUUAUACUUUAAGUUUUGGGGUACAUUAGCAGAAUGUGUAGGUUUCUUACAUAGGUGGUUUGGUGCACCAUGGUGGUUUGCUGCAUCCAUCACCUCGUCAUCUACAUAUC